Molecule: long non-coding RNA, 4239 nt
Filed under: Homo sapiens (human)
Lineage: Eukaryota; Metazoa; Chordata; Mammalia; Primates; Hominidae
Description: HSALNT0167696
Source: RNAcentral
CAAGACUCUGUCAAAAAAAAAAAAAAAAGAAAGAAGAAAUAACAUUUUCAUCAAAUGAUAGUGAAACAAUUUGGUAUCCACAUGUAAAAACAAAAAAAGAAAAAGAAACAGAGCCUAUUUCUUAGGUUAGACAAAGAUUUCUUAGCUAAGACACAAAACUGAUACAUACGCAAUUAAUAAAAUGAAAAAGCAAGCCACAGACCAGGAGAAAAUGUUUGCAACUUACAUAUCAUGCACAUGGCUUGUAUCAAGACUACAUAAAAAAUCUUGCAAAUAAAUGGUGAAAAGAGAAACAACCCAGCUUUAAACUUGGGCAAAAGAUUUGAACAGGUAGUUCAAAAAAGAAGACAUGCAAAUGGCUAAUAAAAAGAUGAAAGGAUGUUCAACAUCAUUUGUCUUUAGGAUUCAAAUUAAAACACAGUGAGAUCUUUUUGAACACGCAUUAGAAAGGCUCUAAUGUAAAAGACCAGCCAUAUCAAGAGCUGGAGAUCAUGGACAAGGGAAACUCUCAUACACUACUGGCAGAAAAGCAAAAAAGUAUAAUUUGGAAACUGAUUUGUCAGUUUAUUAAAAAUGUAAAUAUAUAAAUAGUUUGUUACCCUGCUCUUUUCUUGCUAGAUAUUUACCCAAGACAAUCAAAAACAUAUGUUCAUAAAAGACUUGUACACAAAUGUCCAUGGAAGAUUUUUUUUUUGUGAUAGCUCAAAGCAGAAAAUAAAAGCCAAAUGCCCAUUGACAAUUGAGUGGGCUAAUACAUAUUUUAUUUGUAUACCACAUGAUAUGUAUGGUAUACCUAAAUAAAGGAAUUCUUCUCAGUAAUAAAAAGGAAUGGACUACUGAUACAUACAACAAAAUUAUGUAAUCUCAAAAUUAUGAUGCUAAGUAAAAGAAGUCACACAAAAACACAGUAUGUAUUGUAAGAUUACACUUACGUAUAGUUCUAUAAAAUGCAAAUAAAUCUACAAGUGACAGAAGCAGGUAAGUAGUUGCUUAGGGAUAGGGUGGACAGAGAGAGACGGAUUCUAAAUGGGCAUGAGAAAACUCAUGAUGAAAAUACUUAUUAUCUUAAUUGUAAUGAUGGUCUCACAGGUGUAUACAUAUGUUGAAACCUAUCAAAUUGUGCACUUUAAAUAUGUGCAGCUUAUUGUACUUCAAUGAUGCCUCCCUAAAGUGUUUUAAACAAUUAUAUGGCCCACAAAGCACAUCUUCCAGCCAGAGUGGCCUGGCUGUGGCCCAACAGCUUGAUUUCUCAUGUGUCAGGAAUAUCACAAAAGCCAGAAGAACACCCUGAAAUAAAUAGAAUUCUGCCACAGAAUGAUCCAAGUUCGUGUAUCUAUGACAUGCUGCAGGGAAAGAGAAACUUUCCUUCUCUGUCUUAUAAGAUUUGAAGAAAACCAGCCUUCCAAAGGACUGUUUUGCUGUGGCUGACUGCCUUCCCCCACCUUGUCAUAAGUUGUUCAGCCAUAAUUAGUUUGCUAGCACCAGGUUCUGCAAAGCCAGGGGGAUUUCUAUGGUUCAACACCCAGUUCCUAAAGAUUCUAGAUGACUUUAUAUCUGGAUCCCUGCUGUUAUCAACUGCUGCUUUUCAGUGUGUUAGUAGUGGCCAAUAGGGUUGGCUAUAGUCAAAUCUCAAGGAUUCCUUUGGUUUAAAAGAUAAAGUAAAUCCCCUGAGGAAUUUUCUAGCCAGCCUCAGUUAGCAAGAUGAGUUUAUCACAUCUGGGACAGGAGAAAAAUUAUUCUAAUUACAUCAUUUGAAUUUUUUAUUCCAGGGUCCACUUAGAGGUCUUUCUAUCUGGUGUUUCCGCCUUGCAGGGCCAGCUUCCCAGCUUGGAGCUCUCAUGAAGCCAUAUCAGAUGGCUGGGCAGAAAUGUAGGAACGGGCAAUGCAGAAGAGAAUUUGUCUACUCCAGAUAGAGGCACCCAAAGCACAGCAAUGCACACUGGCCUCCAUCACUCCUGCAGUGUGCUUCGGCCCUGGCAUAGAGAAAAGUCAGCUGCAGAGGAUUCAACACUUUCUCUACUAACAGAAUCUAUGCCAGUUUGGGGAACAAAGAGGAUUUAGUCUCUUUUCUGUCACUGGCAGCCAGAUCAACAGGAUAUGCCCUUCUGUUAGCAUAUUCCUUUUUCACAUGGAGGAUGAAGAAGGCAACAGCUUUAGCUCUGCUGAGCAACCAUGCUCCCCUGAGACUGAUGGCUCCCAAAUCAUUGAACCUGGAAGUUCAUCUGCUUAUCGUUUAGGAUAGGUUUCUCUACAGAUGGCUAAUUUCAUUUCCCACAUGCUGAAUUUCUUUCUAGCUUUCUGCUCAGAGGGGAAUCUAAAUUUCAUGCUCAGGGAGUGCCCUGCUCUUACCCCAUGAACAUAAGCUCCGAGAGAGAAUGUUUUCUCUGCUCAUUUCUAAUUCAUAAAAUAUGCAGCAAGUUUGUGGAAGAGGAGGAAAAAGACAUUACAUUGCCUACUUGGCAGUAACCAUCCCAUCCCAACCAAGAGGGGUGGCCUCAUCUGCAUGCAUAUGGAGAGGGUGUGGUCAAACUCUGUACCAUGAUGUUCUACUACCCAGGUCUUAGCCAGCUGAGCUGAGGAUGGACAACUAUUCAACAGAUGGUCAUCUCAAAAUCUGGAGAGGGACUUGCUGGCUUACAAAGACAAGCUGAAAUAAUCAGAUUACCUCUCUCUUAAACUUCACUCUGGGACUUUUAGCUUGACUCCUUCCAGCAUGGGCUGGAAGUGCAAAUAAAAAUAGAGAGCAUAUGGAUAGGCAGGAAGAAAAAAUCAGAGUAGAGAGAUGACCACAUGAUUCCUGAGAGAUACAGAGUGUUUAAGGCUACAGCUGAGCCUUACAAGAACUGGAACUUUGGAACUGGAAAGUUGCACAAUGUCAAAUAUAAAGGACAAUGUCAAAUAUAAAGAUAAUUUACUCAAGGUUUCAGUUUAUUACAACAAAAGAGCCCUCCUUAACAUUGACGUGGAUUUUAUCCCAGACAUUACAUUUGCAUUUACUAAACACUUACUCUAUGCCAGAUGCAUAGAGAAUAAGGCCCUAUCUUCCCUGUCCUCAGUUCUCUGAGUGGAAAAUAGAAAAAAAAAAUCUGUUUGCUAAGUAAGGUGUCCUUGAAAAAGGGAAAAAGGGAAAAUUAGAAACAGCACCUAACGUCACAAUUUGGUGGUAGAGUAUUUCUGCAAUAAUUGAAGGGCAGCCUGAUUUUCUAUCAGCAAAUCAAGGAAGCUCAGUCUCAAAUAGCUGGCCACAGAGUAUCUGCAGCUUAUCUGUGUUUAGAAUCAUUGGUUCGCCACUUCAGACAGUAUAGAUCUAGAUCUACUAGCCCAUUUGACAGUCUGGUUGGUUUCUCUCUGCUACAAGGCCACAGUCUGAAUGCUAUUUCUUGGUUUUCUCAAGAGGAGUAUCUUGAGGUGGCAUGGCUAAUUCUUAAAAAAUACAUAUUUUGUUCCCUAUUAAGAGGCCCAAAACCAAUAAGCAAGAAUAAUGCACAGACUUGAGGCACCUAGAUUAGGAUUUGGUAAAUGGGAGCUAAGUAGGAUGCAAGAAUUAUCUCACAUAAUCCUUAAAUAGUACCAUAAAGUACCUACUAUUAUUAUUUCCUUUUUUUUUUUGAGACAGGGUCUCACUCUGUGGCCCAGGCUGGAGUGCAGUGUUUCAAUCAUGGCUCAUUGCAGCCUCAACCUCCUGGGCUCAAGCGACCCUCCUACUUCAGCCUCCCAAAGUGCUGGGAUUAUAGGUGUGAGCCACCGUGCCUGGCCCAUUAUUUACAUUUUGUGAUUAAAAAACAAACAAACAAACAAAAAACCUAAAGGUUACUGGGGUUAAGUCAACUUGCCAAGGUCACCAGCCAGAGGUAAUGGAUUAGGUCCAGUUGUAUUUCCACGGUCUUCAUUAUGACACUAUGCAGGAAACAUCAUGCUUACAUAUUCUUAUCCAAACUAACUCAUAUCAUUGGCAAUAGCAAGAUAAUCAACAGUGUAAGUUACACUUUCACUCAUCACCCUCAGAGUAGCUGUUCUCUUUGGGGAGAACAGUUGCAUAGAACAACCUAGAAAAUGUGGAAUUUAAUCAAAUAAAGGAUAAUGCAUGAGUAGAUAUUCAAUGUCCUUAUCUCAUCACACAUAAAAAUAAAAAUAUGUAUGUGUAAAUAUUAACUAAUAUUCAGGCCUAUUACAGCAAAAAAAAUGAAGAAAGAAGGAGGGAGGAAGAGAGGAAGGGAAGGAAGGAAGGAAAGAAGGAAG